GACUGAGAUCUGCUGAGGGGGGCAGGGCUAAACCCAGCCAGUGCACUCUAGGACGGUAUGGUCUGCUCUCACAGACAGGCAGAUAUUGGCAGCGUCUGCUACAUCUGCAAUAGAAGAUCAGAAAGAGAGUCUCCAAAGCAGACAGCUCUGGGUUCCGAGAUCAGCACUACUGACUAGAGGCAAAAUGAUUUGGGACCAAUAACAAAGUCCUAGAACCAGCAUGAGCCAAUGAAGGAAGUACUAUGCAUGCUCUUGGAAGAAAAAAAGUUAUCCACCAAAACAGUUUCAGAACCCAGUUAACACAUCCUGGCAGGAAUAAAGAGAAUAUGCCUGGGAAUGACUCUGGAGUGUACAGCAAUGGGACCCUCCAGGAGAAGGGGAGAAGGAAUGAAGUAUAAGACUGGAUAAAGUAAAGUUUGUUGACUGGAAUGUGUGGAGGACACUGUCCAGUGACUCAGAACCAGUUUCAUAAAUCCUUGUCUGAACCAUAAAUUCUAUUCACUGCCCACAGAAGCUUGAAAAGAGUGAUGGCCAAAGUAAUUGAGGUAGAAAUGCCAGACUACCUUGGCAAAGUAUGGAGGAAGGAGUCAAAAGGCUUAGAGAGAUGCAUGCUUAGAGAGGGCAUGCUGUAUGGACUUAUUACAGAAUACCAGGAAACCCAUCAGAUUGAUGACCAUGUUCAUAGGAGGGGCCAGAGGACUCUUACAACAGUAAGGCAUCUCCCAGUGAGGGGUCCUCUGGCGUUACAGAAAGGAAACAAUGGUAGAUAUUCUCUGUAGGUUAGAGCUGGUGAUAGGUGGGGCUACUCUGGAACUGGGCUCCCUAGGGUCAAUGGAAAUAAAUGGCUUCUGGAAAUAUCAGAGGCCAAGUGACAUUAUUCAGUCAUCAGGCGCAAGGUGGAAAUAAUUAAAGGGCAGAAUUUUCAAAAUGUCAACUUGAAGUUCUCACCUGCAAGGACCAGCGGCAAUAGUGUUCUUAAGGAAAAAUAGGCAGCCAACAUGGAUGUUACUUGAUAUAUAUAAUCAAAAAAACAACAAGAGCAGGCAAGCAGAAGGCUGGCGUCAGUUGCUACCGUGAAAAAUCACAAUUCCUGCCAUUUUCCAGACCCCGGUCAAUUCUCAGACCCAGGAUCAAUCAACAGAAGAGGAAGCCAAGUUCUCUUGAGCAAAGACCUCAAAACACUAUAGCAAGUAAUUAGCAGGAAUUCCUCUAAUUCUUCCCCCAAAGUUUUCUAUGCUGUUUACCAGAGUAAC
This 1253-nucleotide long non-coding RNA is filed under the name Equus asinus (donkey). RNAcentral describes it as "lncRNA (ENSEASG00005028958.1)". The record is from RNAcentral. Lineage: Eukaryota; Metazoa; Chordata; Mammalia; Perissodactyla; Equidae.